ACUCACAGUGCCCUGGGAAUACAGGUUUGAUAUUUCCUACCAGGUAAAGAAAGCAAAAUAUCAAGACUUCGUCGACGAGGCCCUUGUCAACGGAUGGCAUGUGGCCUCAUUUCCUACUGAAGUCGGCUACUGUGGGUUUCCAUCUAGAUCAGUGUGCUAUUUUUUUUUUUUUUUACAGAAGAUAGGUCUGGAACCCAGACAAAUGAAGAGAGCCAUCAAAGAAAUAGACACGGCAGAUGAAACUAGCUGAAGAUGGCUUUGGUUGAUAAGAGAUCGCAAGUGGAACCCUUCUGUAAGAGAAAACUAGCUGAGUUCUUGCUGUCCCAUUCAGGUAAAGCGCACAGCAUAAGAUGCGAAACGCUUAUGACUCUGAGAUACUUGCUGACCAUACGGAAAGGUAUCUAGCAUUGUAAUGGAUUUAGAAGAGCUUGCAAAACCUCUGAAUACCUCCAGCACUUUCAGCACGGGGAAAAAAGCAUCUCCGAUAUUUAUUUCAUCUAUAAGAGGUAAGUUUAUAUAAGAGGAAGUAACUCUUUCCUUACAAAUUUUAACACGUGAAGCUGGUGUUGAAUUAAAAAAAGGAGAGAGCGAUAAAAAAUAUUCCGCCCGGAACUUUUCUGCAUCUGGCCGAUAAAAUACGAAACACUAUAAAGUUGCCAACUCAGUAAUGUGACGUGUAUUGUAAGAGAAACAUGGAGGGUACGCUUUUUAAGUGGACGAAUUAUUUAUCGGGUUGGCAACCUCGAUGGUUCAUUUUAGAAAAUGGUAUUUUAUCUUACUACAAAUCUCAAGAAGUAGUCAAUAGUGGCUGUAAAGGGUCAAUAAAGAUGACAGUAUGUGAUGUAGUUGUACACCCGUCAGAUUCCACACGGUUAGACUUGGUUAUUCCUGGAGAACAGCACUUCUACCUAAAAGCAGCUACACCUCAUGAACGCCAACAGUGGCUUAUUGCCCUUGGUACUUCAAAAGCUUGCUUGGCAAAUGGACAAUCCCCACAGAGUACAGGAGAAAUUUCCCCUGAUAUUGUCAAAACCAAAAAAUCAGAACUGAGAUUGUAUUGUGAUCUUCUGAUGAAGCAAGUCCAUUCUGUAAAACAAGCAAUCUCAAACCCAGAUGAAACUCCGGAUAUUCAGAAAUUGAAUGAUGCCACAUCUCUGUUGAGUGCGACCUGUGAUACCUUCAUACAAACCCUUGAAGACUGUAUGAGAAUUGCCAAUGCAACAAUAGCUUAUGAAGUGCCUAACCAAUAUGUAAUAAAUUCUUCCAUACCAAUUUCAUCUCCAACCAAAAGCAACUAUAAAUUGGCAACAAAGAAUAACAUUCGAAAAUCAAUAUCCUUAGACAGACCAAUUAUGAAAAAUGGUAUUCAAGACCAUAAAUCAAUGAAAUACUCAAAUAGUGACCAAUAUUUACAAAAGAAAUCUCCAAACAGAAUGGACAGUGUAACUUCAGAUUCUUCAGACUGUCAAAUAUCUGGCUGUGAAGACAACAGUUACCGUUCCCUUAGUUCUGAUACUAGAAUAAUGCCUGCCAUACCGUCAGAUCUGAGGCCCCAUCACAUAUCAGAUGAAAAUUUAGUCAUAAUGAAUUCCACAGAUACUUACUUUUCUUAUUUGACACACAGCUUUGCAACAUGUGUUCUUGAUAGUGCUGGUGAAGUCCCUGUUGAGCCAUUCCUUGAUUCAUGUAAAUCAAUUUUACCUAUAUUUGAUAAAUUGAAUAGUACAGCAUUUGCAACAGUGAAAAUGGAUUUUUCUAGCAACAUUCAGAAAAUUGAGAAGAAAUAUGCUACCAAUUCAGAAUUUACAACAUUACAGAAAAUGAUUACAUGGGAAUUAGAAGCCAAUGAACAACAUUUAUCAAAUUCUGUUGCAGUUGCUGUAUUAUGGAUGAAAAGGGCAUUAGAAUUUAUUCGAGAAUUCAUAUCUGAAAUCCACAAUGGCAAGGCUGAUUUGAGUGAAGCAACAACAGAAGCUUAUAAUAGAACCUUGAAACCUUUCCAUACAAGGUUUGCCCGUAGCAUAUUUGAUGUUGCUAUGAGAGCCAUUCCAACUCGUGAUAUGUUUCUAGCUCAAUUACAUUCUAUUAGCUAUCCAGUCCCAAAAGAGGAUAUUGACCGAAUACUUGACCAUCAUAUGGUAACAUUUAUAAAUUCUCUGAAACCAAUUAUUCAAUCCAUAAAUGACUUUUACUGUGCCAAUAAUCUUGAUUCAGAAGAACAAGUGUGAGCAGACUGAAAAGAACUAAAAAAAAACAAAACAAAACUAAAAAACACAACCACGAAUUGAUGAAAACAAAACACUUUUAAACAUCCUUUUAAACUGGAAAAAUAUAUACCUGUAUGUAUGUUUGUAUAUAUGUAUACAUGAUGUGUGCAUACCCUUAUGUGCAUAUGUAUAUAUAAGGAUUUACAGAUUUAUCUUUGUUCUCACUCUUUUGAGUUAGUGCAGCGAUAUUAUAAUGGACAAGUCUUGUUACAGCUUUUAUUUUCUUGUUUGCUUAUAAUUUUCUUUCUUUCAAUGUGAUACUGGAAAGAUUGAAUCUAUAAACCAAACCUUCUUGGUGGAUAACUUAUAUAUAUAUAUAUAUAUAUAUAAAGCCCAGUGAUAAAAUGGUGGUCCUCUGUAAUAAGUAUUCAUUUGUAUAAUUUCUUUUUUUUUUCUUUUUCUGAGUUUGAAAGAUUUUAUUUAUUUUUUUCUGAAUGGCUCUGAUUGUGUUGAAAGUAUGCCCUGCACUAUAAGGAAGUAUAUAUGUGAAAUAUCUAAGGGUGCAUCAUCCAUAGAUUAGGAAGUCCUUGCCAUUGAAUAUAAAUUAUCAAUCAUUUGUAUCUUGGAAAAUAUACUAAAGCUUCUAGUCCUUUCAAGAAUAUCUUAUCACAUUCCAAACAACUUUCUAGAAAAUCCUGAUUGUACAAAUAUACUCCUUCCCAAUUUACAACUUUGCUGGAAUUGUAAUAGUUAAGGCAAAAUAGUUUGACAUUUUCAUUCUGACAUUUAUUGUCUAAGGAAAAGUCUAUUGAUUUUGUACUGUUUAUGAUAUUAAACAGAUAUAGUAGAUAUCUUUUGCCUUUCAAAAGAGUUCUGAAAAAUUUUCUCUACCACACUAGAAACUUACGUUGUGCAUUCCCAACCUAUUGUGGGUAUGUUUUCAUUUUUUUAAUGCUUCAUUCUUUUUAUAUUUCCAAUAUUCUUUUAAAUUUAGAUAUACUUUAUGUAUCAUAAUUUAAGUAUACAUAUUAGUAGAAUACUAAAUAAAUUUCAUCAAAAAUUAUUUUACUUUUCAAUAAAAUUUAUAGUCACCAAAUUCUAUAGUUAGCUGUUAACUUUUCUCUUUUUAACUACUGCAUCAAUCCUAAAGGGUCAUAGAUAUUACAUAAAUUUAUAUUCAUUACUUCAAUCAUAAUAUCCUAAGCUGGGAAUAUUUUAGCAUGAAAUAUCAGAUCAUGACAUCAAAUCUUAGUCUUGAAUCAAUAGCCUAACUAUUUCAAUGGUACAUAUGAAUUGCUUGAUGUACUUCUUAUUCUUUUCACAGAAUUAGAUAGAAAAACCUCCAACUGCAUUUGCAAAUGUAAUAUAUUAAUUGCCUGCUUAUUUAUCAAUGUUUUAAUCAUUCAAAAUUUUGAUUUCUGAAAUAUUAAACAAAAAAUUCAGAUUUCAUGUGACAUUUUUCAUUUCUAAGAUGAGUUGCUAUUUGAAAUAUUUUUAUAUAAAGUUUUACAUUAAAAAUAUUUUUUUAGAAAACCUAAAGAUUUUAUUGUUUCCCUUGUUUUAAUCUUUGUCGUCUCCUCACCUUCCUUGAAAUAUAUUUUGUCUAUUUUCUUUUUCACAUGUCUAGAUCCCUUUAGUUUCCUUUCUCACUUUGCCCUUCAUCAUGAACAAAUUAAAAUUUUUUCCCUAUUAAGUUUAUCAGAACAUUUUGUCAUAGUAUUAUAUUUCUGCACCUUUCCUUGGCUCUGUCUUUAUGAACAAAGUUUUUAUUAUUUAUCAAACAAUAAUUGAAAGCAAAAGAACAAUAAAUUAUAUGAACUGUUAAUUGCUGUGUAGACUUUGACUCCUGUUAAUUAAUAAUCAACUACUUUGUGAAUAAUAAUUUUAUUCUCCAUAUGAGUUUUGUGGAUGUUGGAGAAUUAAUCAAUUUUCUAAAGAUUUGUCUUCCAUCCUUAUAAAUCAGAAUUGAUUCUCAAACAUUUAUCCAGAAUUCUAAUUCAGAAGAGAAACUAGAAUUUCAAAUUAGGUGAAAGCUGUUUCACCUAAGUAGUUUUGAAAUUAUCAAGUAUGGUUUCAGUCUGGUUUGUUGACUUAAAAACAAUGUCAAAAUGUAGUUUUGGGAAAAAUGUAUUCCAAAAUUAUUGACACAGGCUGGAUGUCUUCCAUAUUCUCGUGUUUGUUCUUUCAGCUAAUAUCAACUUAAAUAGUGAAAUAACUAUAUCAUUUGUAGUAAGAAAACUUUCUUUAUAUUAUGAAAGUAACUAUUAAAACAAAAACCCAGACAUAUGUUUUAUUAUUUUUUUUGUAGCAUUUGCUGUUGAAAUAACAGAAAUAAUUAAAAUCUUAAUGAAAACUGAAGACUCAUAGCAUUUCUUUUUUAAAUCCCUAAGAAUAUGCAGAGAUUGCAUCAAAAUAUUGCAUGUGAAAUGGACGUUAAAUGAUGAUAAUGUAGUCAGCUUAUAACUUUGUGUUGAGUUUGGCAGCCAAAGUUUAAUUUGUUGAAAGGACUUGCUCAUAUUAGAAAAAAACAAAAGUUAAUCUACAGUGGGUCUGAUGAUAAAUUACGUAUCCCAUUAAUUACAGAAUUUUUGUAACACUGUUCUGUUAUCUUUCAAACAACCUUAGGUUGCUGCUAUUCAAGGGAAUAUUGAGAUUUACGUACAUCUGCCCUUAAAAACAUAACUAGUACUUAGAAGAUUCUUUUGGGAUUCUCAGCCAUACUGUUGUCUCUUGCUUGAAGAGGUUGGGAGGCACCAAAGUUAUCCUAAGCGAGAUCUGAAUUUAAAAUGUAAAGUUCUGGAGCUAAAUAGGUACUCUAGUCAACUCAUUUGACUAAAAUUCUUCAAGAAGGUACCUAAACAUGGCUGCUGUCUAAUGACUGAAACAAGUACGAUAAAUACCAGAAGGUAUUUUGUCUGAUAUUCUCUUGAUUCUGCCAAUUCACUGCCUAAUAGUUAUGUACUGUGAGAAUAGGUAAUUCUAUACAAAGUAAUAGAAACAAGACUGAAACAUGUUAUCAAAUUGUGAUAAAGUGUAUGUAACCCAUCUGAAGUACUGUACCCCAUGAUACAGAUUUAAUUUUCUUUUCUUUCUAACAGCAAAUCGUAAUUUUAUUUAAUUGAUCUUUUCAUUAGAAAAUAUUUAAAUGAUUGAUCAGCUUAAGUGUAUUCAGUAUUUGCUAUUUUAACCCUUUAGCAUUCAGAUUACUCUGUUAAAUGUAAUUCUUAUUUAUUCACAUUGUUUUGAAUUAAUCAUACAUUAUCUUGAAGCCUCAAAAUUUCAAUAUAAUUGUUUAUUUUUGCACUGAAGGGUAUGUGUGAGAGGCAAGACAUGGCCAGUUUGAAUACAAAACAGGUAGAAUAUUUUGGCUGGAUAUGGCUGGUUCAAAUGCUAAAGGAUUAAUUUUAAGUUAAUAUGUUGGACAUAUGAUCUGGAAUAAUGAAUAAAUUUUUAGUUGUUUUAAAUCUCUCAAGUAUUACUUGUCAGCCUCUUAUGAUUUUUGCUAGAUAAAAUAACCAAUGCUCAGAAACAAAAGGAAUUUGAAAUGAUUUAGUCGUAACAAUAAUCAUAAGUUUUUGGCUGGCUAAAACAAUUUUUCUCAACCAUUUCCUAAUCAAACUAAAGGGCUACAAUAAGUUAAUGAAUUCACAUACAGCUUUUUUGAAAAUAGAUUAUAUAAAUAUAUAAUUGUAUCAAGGACCUAUAAAUCCUUUAAGAGAUGCUAGCAUCCUAGUUCUUCUCAUUUACUCAUAUAUAUAUAUAUAUAUAUAUAUAUAUAUAUAUAUAAAUAACUCCUGUAAGAACAAAGAAAGAUAUUUUCUUAGUAUGUAUUACUUUAUUCAUUAACUUUUGGUCUAUGAAGUUUAGUAGAAUUGUCAAACAAAGCUCUUUUUUUAAUUGUUCUGCACAGAUUUGCUUAGUGAAUUCAGUGGGAAGGCUGCAAAGAUUAUAUUUAUAGGCAGGAAUAGUAAAAAGAAAAGAUUCCAAAUGGCAGUCAGUUAGGUUGAGGAGAUUUAAGUUACAUAAUCACAAAUCGCAGCCAAUAAUGUGGUUCAAGCUAACAGUGAAGCAUCAUAUUGUGUGUAUCAUACAUGUAUUUUGAAAAGGUCUGUUUUAGAAACGUUCAUGAUGUCAGUAUUGUUUGAAAUGUGCUUUAGGAGCCAUUGUUUUCCUUCUACUUCAUGUGUAGCUACUAAUUACACAUGGAAAAUGUGUAGUACUAACUCAAAUAUUUCAAACAAGCAUGGAAAAAUCAGUAUUAUGUUGAUGAAGUGUCAAUGUUACACUUAUGUACGAUUUCUUUUUUCCUUGCCUGAGAGUAUUGUAUUCUGUUCCAUUUGAUUCUUUAAUUUUCCCCACAUUAUGGCUUUAUAAUGUUUUGUCUUUUCAAGGAGGUGCACAAUGUAUUUUUCUAAUUUGAUUUUCAUCUUGCAUCCUUGCACAAUCAGUGAGAGGUUGUCCAUAAAUUCAACUUUUCUAUAGAAUACCACUGUUCAGUCUUUCCGAGUCUGACUUCAAACAGUUGUAGUAUUUUGUAAAUGCUAUUUGUUCAGUCAUUCAAAUGUGUGUAAUUGUAUAUAUGCUAAUUGUAUGUUGGUGUUUGUAUAUACAGAAGUAUGUAGGUGUACAUAGUAAUGCCCUAUCUUUAUGAUAUUCCUUUUCAAUGUAAAAGAAAUAUAACAAAAAUGCUAAGUUAUGACCCAUGUAUGUAUGUAUUAUUUUGGAUAAUGGUUAACAUUGGCUUUAUUUAUUCAAUAACUUUAAGUUGUAUUCUGUCUGGAAACUUUUGUCUAUCUACAACUUGCAGUCAAUAUUUGAAGGUUGGAGAGGAGCAGUUAAAUUUAAGGAAAAAUAAGAAAUAGCCCAUCUUCAGCUGCUUAAAUAUAGACCUUAAGAGUUGCAGCAUUAUAUAUUGUAGCAACCUGAAAUUUUUCACUAUAUUCAUUAACAGACUUUUAUCUUCAAGAAAAGAAAAAAAAAAUGCAUGCGAGAUAAUUUUUAAAGAUUUUUUUUCUUUUGAUAAUAGAAAAAAAAAUCUUUAUUUUUGGUUGACUUUUAAGGUUAGCCUAUUAUUUUUGUAUGAUUAUGAAUUAAUGGUACUGAUAUAUAUGUGACAUUGCUUACUGUAAAUGUCUUUGACUUCUGUACUUGAUGGUAAUGAUUUGUUAUAUUGACAUAAGACUACAGACGAAAGAUAAGCAGUUUGAGAUGAUUCUUUGACUGGUAUUUGUUGACAUGGGUGGGAUGAAAGGUAGUCAAUCCUUGAUGGUAAUUGAACUCAAAACUGCAGAAACAAAGCUAAAUACUGUUAGGCACUUAGAUGCCAUUUUGCCAUUCCAUUGCUUUUUUUCAUUUUUUUUUUUAAUUGUUUUUUUCCAAGAAAAUCUUUUCAUGUAAGAAGACUAGAGCUUUAACAUGGAGUCAACGUUUUCACUUUCUUUACAUAUCAGGCAUUUCUAAUUUCUCUUACACAUGACUACUACUUUCACAUUUUCACUGGGGUUUAUUUCAUUACAUUUUUUUUUUUUGUUAUUAGGUUCUAAGCCGGUCAGCAGAAGUAGCAAAUGCAUAUUAUAUUUUAUCCUAAAAUAAUCAAGUUUGACUUUAGAGAAUUCAUGUCUACUUAGGCAUUUUUUCAUAAAUAAAUAAUUUCUCACUUAGUUAAAGAUAUUUCUUGAAUUCAUUAUUUUGCUUUCAAUUCUAUGUUGUAUAGAGUAGUAAUUCAAGCUCUUUAUAUGAAUGUGAUUUCCCAUCAUAUUGAUCCUUUUAAAACAUAAUAUUUCUCUCUCUAUAGAUCUCUUUUUUUCUUUCUUAAUUUUUUUUUCAAACCAGCAAAAUGUUUCUUAUAUAUGGUGAGUGUAAUAGCAUAUGCAACAAAUUUAUCUUUUCAUUUUAUUUAACUUAAACCCCUCCAAGUUUUACUUGUUUCAGCCAUAGUCUUUGGCACCACCAUAGUAUAAGAAAAGCUAAAUAAAAUUUGAUGUACAAAAUAGUUUGUGUGUGUGUGUGUGUGUGUGUGGUGUGUGUGUGUGUGUGUGUGUAUAUGUAUGUAUGUAUGUAUGUAAGUACGUAUGUAUGAGAGAGAGAGAGAGAGUAUAGAAUGUAAUGGUUAAUUUCCUUUCAGAGGAAAGGAAAUGGAAAAAAAAAAGGAAUUUUUGUCAAAUUGUAAAUAAACUACGUUGUGGCUUUAUGUUAAAGCCCUUGUUUCUGAGUUGAACUUUUGCUUGUAGUGGGAGAAACUUUGUCCACUAUGGUGAAGCAAACUACUAUGUGUGUGUGUAUGUAUAUAUAUAUAUAUAUUUCAUAUUGUAGUUACUUCUUUGGAAAUGUGCUUCCUUAGCUGAAAUUUUUUUUUGUAUUAAAAAAAAAAGUCAGUUUCACUAAUUCAAUUACGCAUACACACACACACACACACACACUUUUCACCUUGUACAUAAAAUAUUUCAUUAAUAAUAAUAAUGAUUGUAUUAUAUUAUUUAGCAAGCACCAUAAGGUAAGCUCCUAGUGGGCAGUCCUUGACCUGAUUUUGAUUCUUAAUUGUAACCAUUUUACUCCAGUUUUGCCACUAAUGCCUUGAGCAGGCAUGAAUGUCAUAACUUCCCAUCUCUCCAUUCUUAAAAAUAUUGGGCUUCAUGUUUAUGUAAAUGUACAAUUAUAUGAUUUUGUUGGAAAAGCUAACCACUUUUCCUGGAUUCAAAUGGAUUGACUGUAUAUAAAAUAAAUGAACAUUUUUUUUUUUAAACUCAUUUAGACUGACUGGUAUGUUUGCCUGUAAAAUCUGAUUUCAUGGCAAAAGCCCUACAUAAUUAAAACUGAGAAACAAACUGUUAA
Molecule: unclassified non-coding RNA, 9038 nt
Filed under: Octopus sinensis (East Asian common octopus)
Lineage: Eukaryota; Metazoa; Mollusca; Cephalopoda; Octopoda; Octopodidae
Description: pleckstrin homology domain-containing family A member 8-like, transcript variant X1
Source: RNAcentral